Molecule: ribosomal RNA, 218 nt
Filed under: uncultured bacterium
Lineage: Bacteria
Description: partial 16S ribosomal RNA
Rfam family: Bacterial small subunit ribosomal RNA
Source: RNAcentral
UAGGUCCCAGUUCAGAUUGCAGGCUGCAACCCGCCUGCAUGAAGUCGGAAUUGCUAGUAAUCGCGGAUCAGCAUGCCGCGGUGAAUACGUUCCCGGGCCUUGUACACACCGCCCGUCACACCAUGGGAGCCGGUAAUACCCGAAGUCAGUAGUCCAACCACGUGAGGACGCUGCCGAAGGUAGGAUUGGCGACUGGGGUGAAGUCGUAACAAGGUAUC